AUCGAUUUUGUCGCUUUUGAGCUAGUCUACUCAACUGCUUCCAUGAUGACCAAGUGGUUGUAGAAUUGUUGCUGACCGUUCUUGAAUUGAUACAUGGCAGGGAUGGUUGGCGAUUGGAGAAAGUGCUGCUGAGGUCGUGGCACAACAUCACUGUUACCAAAUUUACCACUGUCAUGGACGGCAAGUCCAUUUAUUAUUUAUGUGAAGAAAAAAUACAACUAUCUCUUCUUGAUCUAAUUAUGCAUUUGAAUUGCGAUUAUGGUUUGUUUACCUCCAACAUCUCAGGGUUGUAUCUAACUAUUAUACCUAGCAUUCAUUCGAUGUACAUAUGCAGAUACCGGUAAAGCUAUUUAAAUGCAAGUGGAGCUAUACCACGCACUAUUGGCAUGGUUCAACUAGUAACUGAACAAAACCAAUGAGCAAAGCUCAUUAACUUGUUGCCUCCAGACAAAUUGAAAUGGAGAAAAGGGAAAAAAAUUCUUUUUGCAUUUAAUUAGGGUCUUUCAAAACGCAUGAAUGAUGAAAGAUCCAAACUGUGAUCAACCUGACUUUGAGAUUGAGAAUGGUUGGAUGAGAAAUCUUGGUUGUUGAUCUAGGACUCAUGAGGUUUGUGAAGAACCUGAAUUCCCUCUCAUUUCCCUUGCCCCAUCUCAUCUUUUCACCAGUUCAUUUACUGCCCAAAGUUUUUUUUCUUCAUCCAAAUGGGCUUUGAAUCUCUCUCUCACACAUGUCAAUCAGGGUGUAUAUACAUCGUAUAUGGCUAUUUUGGGUAUCAUGAACACAUUAAAAAAUUAGCCAGCUGUGCAGGAAUUAGUGAUAAACAUAGUUAUUAUAUAAUCAGAAGUGUAUACUCACAUAUCAUAAGGCACACACCAAUAUAUUCUCUUUAAAGGAACAUGCAUAUAAAUCAUCAUACAUUUCUUUACAAUGGCAAUACGAAAAAAACAGAUAGAAAAUGCAACAAUAAAAUUGAAUAAAAUUCCUUCGGACAAAACCAUGUGAACAUUAUCUAGUUUACCGUCACCAAAACACAUAUGUCAUGCUAAAAGAUAUCCAAAUCGAGUCGAAGCAUCACCACUCCAAAUCGUCUAGUUAAUUCAACUACUCAGCAAACUGGACCCAACUCCUCACUGGAAAUUACUUCUACAUGUUGCUAGUUGUUUUACCUUCUAUAUAUGUGAUAGCAUAUAGAAGUUACUCUUUUUAAUGGAAGAUUUCUUUUGCGUGUUACCUAUUUAGAUUCAGAUGAGUGUGAGACUUGUUUUUGGUUAAAAUACAACAAGAAUAGUGUUUAUGCCAUUGUAUUUGAUUUUGAAGUUACAGUUUGAUCGAUCUGUAGGCCGUGGCAUCUUCAUUCCUUUUGAGAAGGGCAGCAUGGCUAACGGCAUGCCAUUCGGAUGUAUCAUGUUAAGAAAGCUGGAUAUCCUCAUCAAUGUGGCAUGCAUCAGAACAUACUAGACUUGUCCUAACCCUUUGGCUAGUGUGAUUUUGAUCAGCGUAAUACACAGAGUCACAGAUCCUCAAUAGUCAUGCAACAACAUAGUAGCAUAUUCAAAAUGAUUCUGAAGAGUUCAUUACUUCGAGAGAUUCUCAACAUAUCAAAAUCUAGAAAAGUGUACACAUUAAAUUGUUUUAUUGAGCUUGUCGCUAAUAGUAUGUUGGGCUGGACAAAAAGCUAUCUCAUGGCUAGCUCGGCUCGGCUUGACUCAUUUCAAUUUCUUAAUGAGCCAAGUCACUGUUUUAGCUUGUUUGGGAUAACUAGCCAGCUCGAGCUAGCUCGUGAGUUCCUCGUGAGCUAAACGAACAUCAAAGUAAUUUUUAGAUUAUUUUAUACUUUGAUACUUAUAAUUUAAGCAAUCUUGAUCAUGAAAUUAUGGAGACAUGAAAUUAAAUUUAGAUUAUGUUUUUUAUAUUUAUAUUUUUAUGAUCAUUGUAAAUUUACAGGGCAAAGAAUCUAUAUAAAUGUUUGAUGUGGCUCACGAGCUUAACGAGAUAGCUCGAGUUGGCUAACGAGCCAAGCUGGUCUGCUAGGUAGCUGGUUUGCUAGCUCAUUCAGUUAACAAGCCGAGCCGAGCUAGCUCGUUAACCUAGCGAGCUAUUACAAGCUGGCUUGGCAUCCAGCCCUACAGCAUGCAUGCCAAAGAGCAGUUGCAUCUGGAAGAGCCUACACAUUGUUGUAUUCACCUUCUCGCUAAUAGUAUGCAUGCCAAAGAACGUACAGACCCUGCUCGAUCUGCCCUCUGCCAUCGCCGGCGGCGAACUGAUCCGCUCGAGGUGCCGUGGUCUCGCCGGCGUCCGGAGGCGUUGCCCCGUGAGACAGUCGAUCAGGUUGGCCGCUCAAAGAACCGGCCAUGGCAGCUUAGGGCUACGCACGCACACCAUUUCGAUCAGGUGGGCUUAAUUGGAGUACCUCUUCCCUUUCUCUCUGCCCCAGUUAUUAGGUUAAUAACGUGAUGUGGGCUUUACCUGAUGCUCUUUUUCUUUUUUUUUUCCCUUUUUUUUUGGCAUUCUCGUGUCUUCAAGGAGCUCGUGCAGAUCUAUUGGGAUUCCUUGCGUGCACUACAAUCAUUCUUUGAGACGGCAUUGACAUUUCUUUCAGUUUUCUAUUAAAAAAACAAAAUCAAGAGUGCGGGGUGGUAGUUUGUUUUUAAAUAGUAUAUUUAUUUGUAAACAAAAUAAUGUUUCUAAAUAUUUUUAUAUGUGUUCUGAGCGAUCCACAGUAAAGGCUGAAAAUAAACUAAUUUAAAUUUUGGCUUAUAAUUAUAAGCAGAAGUGAAAAGACAAUGGGGCGUGAGAUUGAGUGUUAACAGCCUAAGACAUGAAUUUUGGGAGGUCAAUAUGUGGCAUGAUGUCCAUGAUGCGCUAACACCGAGCUGAUCAAAAGAUAGAAAAGCCAACAUGAAAAGCAGGAGAUGACCAACUCGCUUUUAUUAUGCUUGUCCGCGAUAUCCAAUUGAUGCAAGGGUAAGGCUAUUCUAGGAUAUCUUUUGUCUAUAUAUGUCCGUAGGGUUCCCUUGCCGCGGUCCCUUUACCGCGAUAACUACGGUAAUCAGGGCUCUGGAGGUGCAAUAACGAAAAGCCUAUAAUUUGGAGUUUAAAUUUGAGGAAAAUUCAAAAAUUUUGAGGAAAUUUAAAGAAAAAAUAUAUGUCGUAGAGGUUGAUAUAUAAUGUAGUUUUGUCAAAGGAAUUUAUAAAAAAACAUUUUCCGGUGUAAUUAAAAAUCAGAAGUGAGAAAUCCAGGAAAAAAAAUGAAAAACGUCACUAUUCAUGGCAUGGGCCAAUAGGGCCCAAGAUGGGUGGGGACCAAAAUAUCUGUCCCCCAUCCAUGGGUAGACCACAUCAUCCUACUGGUUUCUAUCCGAAGAAAGCUUGCGCGACCGCGCAUCCCGGCGCCAGAUCCACCGCCGCUGACACUACGAGGGGAGAAACCGCGAGGGAGAGGGCGGAAACUAUGGUGGCAGAGGCGGUUACCGUCGACGCUGGGCGGUACACGAUUCCUAGUUGAGCCGGUCGCGAGCUACCGAAUUUUGAGUUUUCCGUCCAAGCCUAGUCACAAAUGUAGCUACAAAAUAUUUUCCUAUUUUUUUUUCAAGUUUUUAAGAUUUUUUCCAAAUUAUUUUGCAUUUCACAUGUGGCGGGUUGUACACGCAGCGGUAACCGCAACAAGCCGUGCAGGAAACCGCAUUUACCGCGGGAUUUGAAUUCAAAUAUUUUGGAUUCAAAUUUAUCACGGUUUCGGCAGCGUCCACGGUAACCGCAUGAAAAACCAUCUGUCCGCCGUCCUGCGGCAUAGAUGGCUUGCACGGUUAAGUGAACCCUAUAUGUCAGUAUGUCACUACUUAAAAAUGGGUUUUAUAAAUGGCCAAGAUUUAUUUUCUAUCUUCUUUUCACAGACGACUCUUUAAUAGACUUAUAAAAACAAAAUAGGUGUGUCGCCAAAAAUAAUUAUUCCUACUAGUUUGUACUUUAGCACAGACUUAAGAGACAAAAUAGGCUUUACUGAACUUUUGUUAUAAUUAUAACAACUGACCGUGUUUCUUUGUUCCCUGUUUCUUUUCUCGUUUUAUGAUAUAAUGCUGUAGGAUUCAUUUUUCAAUGUGAAGUUGAGGUUUAUUGGUCUACCCUUGUAUAGCUUGUCACUUUUUUUAGGAAUUUUUCACUUUUCACGUCGACCAUCUCAUUCUCAAAAUAAAUAAUGGGGUUAAAGCACACAAUUUUGUAGCUAGAUGGGUCCAACUAACAAAUUAAACUAGCAAGUAGCAACAAUGCUUCGUUCUUAAUUUAGAGCAGAAAUGUAUGAUCAUUAAUUUUGACAUACAUGGGACCUAAUGUCAAGCUCAUUUCCUAGGCCAUCAGUGAUUAAUUUAGUAGCAGAUUUAUACCCGUCUUUAGCUAUAAUGUUUUUGGUAGUUUAAUUAGGACCACACAUUCCAACCAAAACACAUCCUACCAAUUAAAAGAUAUGAUAACAAUGGGACACAAAAAGUUCUAUCCAACUAUGGCAUCAACAUGGUGAUAGGCUUGCUACAAAGUGAUCAUGUAUGACGAGUCAUGUUCUCUGCAAACUUUCAUAACACAGUUUCACACAGUAGUAAUAAAAAGCAAUUGACUCCAGCUCACUCAUAAUUUAAUGGGGCAAUUGCAAAUCUGACCCUACCUUAAUGGCAAAACUACAGAUUUUACCUUACUUUUUCAGCUUUGCAGAUUUGACCCUGUUUAUCAAAAAUGAACCAGCCGAAUGACCCUGCUCCGUAAAGGCCAUUUAACUGUGUUAAAUUGAGGGCAACUUGACCGAUUUGCCCUUGCUCUUUUGACCAUAUUGUAGGUUAACUUUUAGGAAAUAAAUAUAAAUAUUUAUUCAGGAACAUUGGAAUAAAGAUUGAAAUAUAUUUGAUAGAUUUGAACUUAAAUUAAUGUAAUUCGAAAUUUGUUAUUUAUUUGAUAGAUUUAGGUUAGUUUGAUAUAUAUAAUUCUAAUUUUGAUAAAUUUUAUAGCACACAACCUCAGAUUUUAUUGAAUUGAAAUAGCUGAAUGUAAUAGGUACAAUCAUUAUAGAGGAUUUUACAAAAAUUUGACAGCGUAAUAAAAUCUCAAGCCUGUCUCUCCCUUCUCUCUUGUUUUCUUUUCUUUUUUUCCUCUCCUCUCUUUCUCUUUCUUCUUUCUUCUUUCUUUCUUCUCCCUAGUUCACACAGCGGCAGCAGGGGGCGAUGCAGUACAACGGCGGCAGGGGGCGACGCAGUACAGCGGCACGCUGCCGGCGGACGAGAGGACGACGCACGAGUGGUGCAUGGCCGGGUACGACCUCGCCGUCCGCUUCAUGGGCCGCGUCGCCGACGACCUGGUGAGCUACGAGGCGGCGGUGCGCCUGAAGAACGACGUCGCCGGCAGCCUGAGCGACAUGGACGCGUGCAGGAGGAAGUUGUUCGUCUACCCGGCGUCGUCGUUGUACGGCCGGAACCUCCCCAACUGCUGCCGCCGCCGACGGCACCGCCUCCCCCAACUGCCCGCCACCGCGGCCUCCGCCCACAGCCCGACGACGCCGCCGCCUCCUCCCUCAGCUCGCUCGGCGCCGCCUCCACCCACGGGGUGAAUGACUUGAGAGAGAGAGGAAGAUAUGACUUAGGGGCAUAAUAGUCCAUUCAUAAUUCAAAUUUAUUUUUUUAUUCCGUUUAUCCUAAACUCUAACGGCAUGCAUCAACCAGGGUUAGAUGGUAGGUUCGCUUUUGAAAAAGAAUGCCAAAUUUGCAAAGUUAAAAAAGAAUGGUCAGAUCCAUAAUUAACCUUCAAAGUAAGAUUAGAUAUGCAAUUGUCUCUAAUUUAAUUUACUUCAUUUUCUUCUGUGCUGCAAGUCACUGAUAAUUUAAUAUAUAAUAUUCCAUGUAUGAUUAGUUUCAUGACGAUUUUGUCUCUUUUUAUCUAGUCUAUUCAACUGCUUCCACGACGACCGGUUGGUUGUAGAAUUGGUGCUAACCGUUCUUGAAUUAAUCCAUGACAAGGAUGGUCGGUGAUCAGAGAAAUUGUUGCCGAGUUUAUGGUACAGUGUCACUAUUACACUAUUACUGAAUUUGGCACCGUCGAGGAUGGCAAGACCACUUAUCCCACUUAUUUAUUAUUUAUAUGAAGACAAAAUACAACUAUCUCUUCUUGAUCUAAUUAUACAUUUGAAUUACGAUUAUGGUUUGUUUACCUCCAUCUCAGGUUGGUAUCUAAUUAUUAUACCUAGCAUUCAUUCGAUG
RNAcentral lists this long non-coding RNA (6236 nucleotides) under Oryza brachyantha (malo sina). RNAcentral describes it as "long non-coding RNA (OBRA_LNC001973)". The record is from RNAcentral. Lineage: Eukaryota; Viridiplantae; Streptophyta; Magnoliopsida; Poales; Poaceae.